CCAGAACAUGACUGCUGUGCAGGCUGCUUUUGCUGUUGUCAACAAAGGCGUCCGUCCAACAAUCCCCAUUGAUUGUUUGCCUGUCUUAUCUGAUAUCAUGACCUGCUGCUGGGAUUCUGACCCCAAUAAUAGGCCAACUUUCUCUCAGGUUGUCAAGAUGCUUGAGGCAGCUGAGACAGAAAUCAUGACCAAUAUCAGAAAGGCACGUUUCAGGUGCUGCAUUCAUCCUACCGCUACAGGUUGAUUCGGGAAAGAGGAAACUGGAGGCAAAAAAAAUGUUGAAUGGUAAAACUGAUUUUGAGUCUGCCAUGUGUAUCUAUUCGGCACAAUUUCUUUUCAGAUAGAAAAAGGGUUAUAAUUAUGAGAAAAAACUAAACAUUUCUCCUGUAUUUUGUAUCUUUUCCUUAAAACCGUGGAUUUAAGACAGCGACUCGUUGUUAAUACAGG
RNAcentral lists this unclassified non-coding RNA (447 nucleotides) under Hevea brasiliensis (rubber tree). Lineage: Eukaryota; Viridiplantae; Streptophyta; Magnoliopsida; Malpighiales; Euphorbiaceae. The record is from RNAcentral.